This 233-nucleotide ribosomal RNA is filed under the name uncultured bacterium. RNAcentral's name for it is "partial 16S ribosomal RNA". It matches the Rfam family "Bacterial small subunit ribosomal RNA", at positions 1260 to 1500 of the family's 1533-position model. The record is from RNAcentral.
ACCGGAUGCGGAUCUCGAAAGCCUGUCCCAGUUCGGACUGGAGUCUGCAACCCGACUCCACGAAGUUGGAUUCGCUAGUAAUCGCGCAUCAGCCAUGGCGCGGUGAAUACGUUCCCGGGCCUUGUACACACCGCCCGUCAAGCCAUGGGAGCCGGGGGGCGCCUGAAGUCCGGGACCGCGAGGACCGGCCUAGGGCGAAACUGGUAACUGGGGCUAAGUCGUAACAAGGUAUC